CCUACGGGAGGCAGCAGUAAGGAAUAUUGGACAAUGCCCGCAAGGGUGAUCCAGCCAUGCCGCGUGCAGGAAGAAGGCCCUAUGGGUCGUAAACUGCUUUUACACCGGAGAAAACCUCCCUUCGUGAAGGGAGCUGAUAGUAUGGUGAGAAUAAGCAUCGGCUAACUUCGUGCCAGCAGCCGCGGUAAGACGAAGGAUGCAAGCGUUAUCCGGAUUCAUUGGGUUUAAAGGGAGCGUAGGUGGACUGAUAAGUCAGUGGUGAAAUCUUCGAGCUUAACUCGGAAAUUGCCAUUGAUACUGUUAGUCUUGAGUACAGUUGCUGUGGGCGGAAUAUGACAUGUAGUGGUGAAAUACAUAGAGAUGUCAUAGAACACCGAUUGCGAAGGCAGCUCACAAAGCUGUAACUGACACUGAGGCUCGAAAGUGCGGGGAUCAAACAGGAUUAGAUACCCUGGUAGUCCGCACUGUAAACGAUGAUUACUCGCUGCUAGAGGGCAACUUUAGUGGCUUAGCGAAAGCGAAUAAGUAAUCCACCNGGGGAGUACGCCGGCGAACGGUUGAAACGUUAAAGAGUAGUUAGACGUGAGGAGAGCGACGGAGGACACACGGGAGGGUAGGAGG
RNAcentral lists this ribosomal RNA (621 nucleotides) under uncultured bacterium. RNAcentral describes it as "bacterial SSU rRNA". It matches the Rfam family "Bacterial small subunit ribosomal RNA", at positions 338 to 956 of the family's 1533-position model. The record is from RNAcentral.